Molecule: ribosomal RNA, 535 nt
Filed under: uncultured bacterium
Lineage: Bacteria
Description: bacterial SSU rRNA
Rfam family: Bacterial small subunit ribosomal RNA
Source: RNAcentral
UUUUCUCAUGGGGGAAACCCUGANGAGCCAUGCCGCGUGAGUGAUGAAGGCCUUCGGGUUGUAAAACUCUUUUGGCGGGGACGAUAAUGACGGUACCCGCAGAAUAAGCUCCGGCUAACUUCGUGCCAGCAGCCGCGGUAAUACGAAGGGGGCUAGCGUUGUUCGGAAUUACNUGGGCGUAAAGCGUGCGCAGGCGGCUUCUCAAGUCAGGGGUGAAAGCCCAGAGCUCAACUCUGGAAUUGCCUUUGAGACUGAGUGGCUUGAGUACGAGAGAGGUGAGUGGAAUUCCCAGUGUAGAGGUGAAAUUCGUAGAUAUUGGGAAGAACACCGGUGGCGAAGGCGGCUCACUGGCUCGUAACUGACGCUCAUGCACGACAGCGUGGGGAUCAAACAGGAUUAGAUACCCUGGUAGUCCACGCCGUAAACUAUGGACGCUAGCCGUUGGGCAGCUUGCUGUUCAGUGGCGCAGCUAACGCAUUAAGCGUCCCGCCUGGGGAGUACGGCCGCAAGGUUGAAACUCAAAAAAAUUGACGGA